AUCGUUGCAAAAAAAAGCUGCCGAUGCGAGCCACACAGAGGAGCCGCCGGUUUCAUCGACUACCACUGCAGGCGCACAGAGGAGACGUGGGCGAUCUUCCGGCGCGGGUGGAGAUUAGGCCAGGUUCACGAGGGAUUCCGGCGAGGUGGGAAUCGACUCGAGGCGAGGCGUCCAGCCCGGAUCGACCCGACGCGACGUGCGCGAAGGUUAUUGGAAUUUUGGUAUUGUUAGACCUUAAGCGUGAAAUAAAGGGAGACAAAUCUCUGAUGGCUAUUGUAGUCUUGUUCUCAAUGCCAUAGCAGAUUGACUAUAUAUGCAUAUGCGGGGAGACAGCUAGCGGACUAUAGACCUUCCUCUCUAUCGGCUGGAGCUUCAGGAGCAGAAGACAGUGCUGCUUCCAGCCUCACCUCUUUCCGCUGGUGUUUGUUUUAUAAUUGCCCCACCCUGCUACCCAGGUAUCCAGCAAAUCAUUAUCAUUAGUACUGGUUAUUGCUGACUAGACAGCUUUCAGAAUUUGAAUUGUAGGGGUCACAUUACAGAGCAAGUAGCAGAAGCAAUAGUCGCUUACAUCUCUCAGUUGCGUUCUUUCCUCGGAGAAUUGACGGUUCCAAUUCCAAUGAACAGAUAGCUCCACAAUUGAUAUUAUGAGCAAUAGUAGAUAUCUUAAUUGUGGCAAUAUUUCUUGCUGUGGAUUUAUUUUAUUAGAGUUUAAAGUUUAAACCAACUUGCUUGGUUGAGGCUUACAUUGCCUUUUUACCAUUUUUCUUCGUUCUCGGCAAUAUCAGUGCACAGUUGACAGUUAUGCACUGCCUUUUCUUUCUUAUAUAUACAUGUGGCAAUAAGGGGUUCAUGCAGGUGCACAGGGUCAAGGGCUCACACCUUCAUGGCGACCUACCUGCAUGUAGGUGAACCAUACAUCCUCUCUUUUCUCAUUGGUGUUUAAUCUGCCGUCCUAAUGUAAUGCUCUGAAAUUGUACCAUGUUGUGCAAGUUUAACAUUUAGUAGAAUGAAGUACUAUACAAAUAAACACACAUACAUGAUUAGUACUUAUGGCUUGUCCUUCUACCCAUAUUUACUUAUAUAAAAUACCAAAAUUCAAAUAGACAUGCACGAAUAUUACCUAUGACUUAUCAUUUGUCCAUGACUACCCCGUGCGUGGCUGUGUACAUGGUUCCAAUGUUGCUAUUUAUCAUGUAAGUAUGGUACUGUGUAUAUUGUUGGCUAACAAUUGUUUUUGAUAUACGAUUAGUAGAGAUUGACUUGGUGGCCUGCUGAAUUUCCAAAAAGGACGUCCUACUCACCACUCUGAAGAUAUUUUAAAAUUUUAGACAGGUUAACUUGUUUUCCACCUAUUUUGUCCUAUAACUUCAAUUUUCCAUAACAUGGAUCGAUAUGACAUGCCCAAGUCUCAUGAAAUUUAAUUGUAGUUGAGACGUUUUCACUUUCACUAUCUAAUAUAAAUCAGUAAACUCCAUGUUUCAUUCCUCCAUAUUGCUAUAUAAUUUCCUACUAUUAUAUGGGAAAAAUGGACAGGCGCGACAUUGCGUGAGCCGACCGAUUUAAUGUUUUGGUUGUUGCUGGUCGUCGGAUGCAUAUAUCUAAGCAAAACUGUCUCUGCUACCUGGCAUUAACAUCCUACGGGCGGCUAUUCCGGUAGCAUUUUUGGAGGGUUUUGAUUAGUUGGCCUACAUGGGCUGUUCUAUGUACAAAGCCCAGCCGUGGAAGCAACUUAUGUGAGCAGCCACACAACUGAAUAACAACCAAGUAGGAGUGCAAGGAAGAUAAUAGAGGUUUUGGUCUGCCGAGAGGUCAUGCAAUACUUCUCUAUUCCCAUUUCAGGUUACAACAAUUAGUCCACUGAUUGAAGGCUAGCUGUUGCUUCUUGAUCAACCCUAUUAGCUUUUAGAUGUGCUUUCAAGUAUGUUCAUUGUAGUCCGGUGCUGUUGUUUAAGUUAAAGUGAGAGCUAUUACGAUCAGUUUGUUUUUUGACCUGUUCAUUUGAAAGUAGCCAAAGGUACAAAUGGAUAUGUAGAUUGUAUACACAAUUUAUAUGAAACAACUUUUGUCA
RNA transcript from Triticum aestivum (bread wheat), 2068 nucleotides. RefSeq lists it as uncharacterized. The record is from RefSeq and is a predicted model, not a curated record. The transcript has 4 exons. Lineage: Eukaryota; Viridiplantae; Streptophyta; Magnoliopsida; Poales; Poaceae.